ACCGAGGACAGCCGCAUCCCGCACCUCCUACCUAGUGGAUCCGCCACCAUGCUUAGAGUUGUUGGAGCUGGUCAUGGACGCAAACAACAACGCUGAAGGGGAUGACCUAUACAUGCUCGACGAGGAGCUCAUCCAGUCCCAUCUCGAGCUCAAGGGAGACGUCUUCGCUGAUGAUGCAUAUCAAAAGGUUGAGAAAAUGAUUAAUUAAUUACCAACACGGUCAUCGGAUUUAUUAAAUUUUGAGGUUGCUUCAGUUGAUAAAGACACCUUCUUCUGCUUUGUCACCACUAUCGUCAUCAACGUAACUUGGUUGAGAAGGAGCAACAACGAUGUCAAGGAUUGGAGACGAGGUUGAGGUCUGCAAAGGGACCGAUGUUGAGGUUUGCAAGACCUAAACCAAGGCCAGAUGGGAGACAAGGGGAUGGGAGAGCGUCACGUGGAUCCCAUGAACCCCUCGUUGGCUCGGCCUACGCGAUGAUGAAAACACAUAGGUGUGGAGUGACCUGGCUCCAGCAGUGCCGCAACGGCCCAUGUGACCC
Lolium rigidum is the source of this 539-nucleotide long non-coding RNA. RefSeq lists it as uncharacterized. The record is from RefSeq and is a predicted model, not a curated record. NCBI's taxonomy places the organism in Eukaryota, Viridiplantae, Streptophyta, Magnoliopsida, Poales, Poaceae. The transcript has 3 exons.